AUGAAGCCCUCUGCAGAUGUUGUCCUCCCAUAUGGUAUCCCAUAUGGCUGUAUUUCACUGCUGCUUGGUUUCAAAAGAUCUCUCUCUCCAGAGGCUGCUGAAAGGAGGAGCAGUGUGAGAAAAGAUGAGAGAAGGGGCUUGCAGAAAUCUAGAAGAGGAGGAAGAGGAGAAGUCAGGACGUAUCCACACACAGCGUGUGCCUCAGGGAGCCGCUGCAGGAACUGCAGACAGCAUGGCCUUUGGCACGAGAUGCUCAGGAGGGGGAGGAAUGGUGCUCAGAAGCAGGUGCUUUGGCAGAGGGCUGGCAGAAGGCAGCCCAGCACCUGGCUCCUGAAGUCUCAAAUUUGGUGAAAUUUCAGCCAGUUGACAUCAAUAACCUGCAGUUUAUGUUGUGUUAGUGCUGCAAUUGGGCAUUUUCUGGCGUGAAGCACAAGGCAGAUCUCCUUCCAGGGCAAGGACACAACAGUGGGGCACAGGGUAAGCAGUGCACGUGCAGGGACUCCUGGCACCCUCUGCUGAGCAGCCACAUGAGGGCUGUUCAGGUGCAGAUGCUCAUCUGGAGGUGCUGAAGGUACAGCCCUUUCCCAGCACUGCCCGUGUAUGGAGCCUUGGUGACCACAUUUCCACUCUGGGUGCACUGUUUGGGUCUGACAGACAGGCCCACAGAAGGUAUCACCUGCAAGGCCAACACAGACCUCUGUCAGGGCUCGUGACACUGCCCCUUACAUGCUGGGCAGACAGAGACUGCUGCAGACUUAAAGCACAAAAACUUAUUCAGUCCCCAGCAAGUGUUAGGAGAAAGCAAAAACCAUGGCCUUCUCCACAUCCAAUUCCCUCCAACAAUGAGAUCGUUAGGGGAGAACACCCAAAUCACCCAAUUACCAAGUAGAAUGAAUCUCUUCUGCCUCUACACCUCCCUGAUCUCCAGGAUCCAGGGCCAUCACAAACCUCCAGUAGUUGUCACCACUACCCCAAAAUACUUUCUCCAGCUACUAAGUCCCUUGCAACUGGACCUAGACCUGUGUCUGACUUCCUGGCAGAAAUUGCUGCUGCAGGUGUAAGCUGCUGCCCUGCUUUUCCACCAAGAAAGGCAAUACCUGUCCCAAAUAGACAGAGAACAAGAAAAAGGAGCUCCAUCUCCACAGUGCACUUCACAGUAAGUGCUAUAAUUUAUAGCACAUAAAUACUGUACAUACACCGCUGCGUUUUGCAGACAUUAUCAUCUCAAAGGGUGGGUAGGAGGUGGGAAAACAGCUUGUAACAACUGGAGCUUAGACAGCUGCUUUCUUUGCCACGUCUAAUGCUGUUUAGGGAGGUAAAAUAGGUCUACCCAGCAGUGCCUCUGCUUCUGCUAGGAUACACUGCAGCUCCAUGUGAGGCUUCUGCUGAAUAAUUGGGCUCAAGGCAGAAUCAUGUAAACAGUCUUGUAGGGGCUUUCUGGGAAAAAAAAACAAACAACAUUCCUGACUCCAAGCCUAUCCCUUUCCCAGAAAUAAACUGCACUGUCCUCAUGCUGGGCUUUUGCACUGCUUCUAACACAGUCUGUGUGACCCAACCACUGUGGAUGAAAAUCUGUGCACAGGAUUAAUCUCCCACAAUGCCAGGUAGCACAGCUAAUGGCAUCUUUCAGCUGCAUACAAGACUACUUUAAAA
RNAcentral lists this long non-coding RNA (1653 nucleotides) under Ficedula albicollis (Collared flycatcher). Its description in RNAcentral is "lncRNA (ENSFALG00000023725.1)". Lineage: Eukaryota; Metazoa; Chordata; Aves; Passeriformes; Muscicapidae. The record is from RNAcentral.